GACGAACGCUGGCGGCGUGCCUAAUACAUGCAAGUAGAACGCUGAAGGAGGAGCUUGCUCUUCUGGAUGAGUUGCGAACGGGUGAGUAACGCGUAGGUAACCUGCCUGGUAGCGGGGGAUAACUAUUGGAAACGAUAGCUAAUACCGCAUAAGAGUAGAUGUUGCAUGACAUUUGCUUAAAAGGUGCAAUUGCAUCACUACCAGAUGGACCUGCGUUGUAUUAGCUAGUUGGUGGGGUAACGGCUCACCAAGGCGACGAUACAUAGCCGACCUGAGAGGGUGAUCGGCCACACUGGGACUGAGACACGGCCCAGACUCCUACGGGAGGCAGCAGUAGGGAAUCUUCGGCAAUGGACGGAAGUCUGACCGAGCAACGCCGCGUGAGUGAAGAAGGUUUUCGGAUCGUAAAGCUCUGUUGUAAGAGAAGAACGAGUGUGAGAGUGGAAAGUUCACACUGUGACGGUAGCUGACCAGAAAGGGACGGCUAACUACGUG
RNAcentral lists this ribosomal RNA (495 nucleotides) under uncultured bacterium. Its description in RNAcentral is "partial 16S ribosomal RNA". It matches the Rfam family "Bacterial small subunit ribosomal RNA", at positions 28 to 507 of the family's 1533-position model. The record is from RNAcentral.